Caenorhabditis elegans is the source of this 21-nucleotide non-coding RNA. NCBI's taxonomy places the organism in Eukaryota, Metazoa, Nematoda, Chromadorea, Rhabditida, Rhabditidae. The record is from Ensembl.
UAUGUACGGGCUUCUGUUUGG